Molecule: transfer RNA, 75 nt
Filed under: Planctomycetota bacterium
Lineage: Bacteria; Pseudomonadati; Planctomycetota
Description: tRNA-Cys
Rfam family: tRNA
About the family: Transfer RNA (tRNA) molecules are approximately 80 nucleotides in length. Their secondary structure includes four short double-helical elements and three loops (D, anti-codon, and T loops).
Source: RNAcentral
GGUGGCGUAGCCAAGUGGUUAGGCAACGGUUUGCAAAACCGUCAUACGCGGGUUCGACUCCCGCCGCCACCUCCA